AGUGAACGCUGGCGGUAGGCCUAACACAUGCAAGUCGAACGGCAGCACAGUAAGAGCUUGCUCUUACGGGUGGCGAGUGGCGGACGGGUGAGGAAUACAUCGGAAUCUACUUUUUCGUAGGGGAUAACGUAGGGAAACUUACGCUAAUACCGCAUACGACCUACGGGUGAAAGCAGGGGAUCUUCGGACCUUGCGCGAUUGAAUGAGCCGAUGUCGGAUUAGCUAGUUGGCGGGGUAAAGGCCCACCAAGGCGACGAUCCGUAGCUGGUCUGAGAGGAUGAUCAGCCACACUGGAACUGAGACACGGUCCAGACUCCUACGGGAGGCAGCAGUGGGAAUAUUGGACAAUGGGCGCAAGCCUGAUCCAGCCAUACCGCGUGGGUGAAGAAGGCCUUCGGGUUGUAAAGCCCUUUUGUUGGGAAAGAAAAGCAGCAGGUUAAUACCCCGCUGUUCUGACGGUACCCAAAGAAUAAGCACCGGCUAACUUCGUG
This 491-nucleotide ribosomal RNA is filed under the name uncultured bacterium. RNAcentral's name for it is "partial 16S ribosomal RNA". It matches the Rfam family "Bacterial small subunit ribosomal RNA", at positions 29 to 507 of the family's 1533-position model. The record is from RNAcentral.